This 443-nucleotide ribosomal RNA is filed under the name uncultured bacterium. RNAcentral describes it as "partial 16S ribosomal RNA". It matches the Rfam family "Bacterial small subunit ribosomal RNA", at positions 331 to 790 of the family's 1533-position model. The record is from RNAcentral.
CCAGACUCCUACGGGAGGCAGCAGUGGGGGAUAUUGCACAAUGGGGGGAACCCUGAUGCAGCGACGCCGCGUGGGUGAAGGAGCGCUUCGGCGCGUAAAGCCCUAUCGGCAGGGAAGAAGGAGGACGGUACCUGACUAAGAAGCCCCGGCUAACUACGUGCCAGCAGCCGCGGUAAUACGUAGGGGGCAAGCGUUAUCCGGAUUUACUGGGUGUAAAGGGGGCGCAGACGGCAGCGCAAGCCAGGAGUGAAAGCCCGGGGCCCAACCCCGGGACUGCUCUUGGAACUGCGCGGCUGGAGUGCAGGAGGGGCAGGCGGAAUUCCUGGUGUAGCGGCGAAAUGCGUAGAUAUCAGGAGGAACACCGGUGGCGAAGGCGGCCUGCUGGACUGCGACUGACGUUGAGGCCCGAAAGCGUGGGGAGCAAACAGGAUUAGAUACCGUAA